AUUCCGUGAUGAGGGCACUUCCGUAAUAAUUCUUUAUACCUUUCUCAUGCCUCAUACAAGGAACCCAUCAUCCAUUUUUUGGAAAGAAGUGAUCUCAUUCCUCAACUU
Gossypium raimondii (Peruvian cotton) is the source of this 108-nucleotide non-coding RNA. The record is from Rfam. NCBI's taxonomy places the organism in Eukaryota, Viridiplantae, Streptophyta, Magnoliopsida, Malvales, Malvaceae.